CAGCAGCCGCGGGAAUACGUAGGGUGCAAGCGUUAAUCGGAAUUACUGGGCGUAAAGCGUGCGCAGGCGGUUGUGUAAGUCUGAUGUGAAAGCCCCGGGCUCAACCUGGGAACUGCAUUGGAGACUGCACGGCUAGAGUGCGUCAGAGGGGGGUAGAAUUCCGCGUGUAGCAGUGAAAUGCGUAGAGAUGCGGAGGAAUACCGAUGGCGAAGGCAGCCCCCUGGGAUGACACUGACGCUCAUGCACGAAAGCGUGGGGAGCAAACAGGAUUAGAUACCCCGUAGUCCCUGUCUCUUAUACA
Molecule: ribosomal RNA, 301 nt
Filed under: uncultured bacterium
Lineage: Bacteria
Description: partial 16S ribosomal RNA
Rfam family: Bacterial small subunit ribosomal RNA
Source: RNAcentral